This 68-nucleotide transfer RNA is filed under the name Tylodelphys immer. RNAcentral's name for it is "tRNA-Lys". Lineage: Eukaryota; Metazoa; Platyhelminthes; Trematoda; Diplostomida; Diplostomidae. The record is from RNAcentral.
UUGAGGGUAGCUUAAAUUUUAAAAGUUUGGGAUUCUUACUCCUAGGAUGUUGUGUGUAACCCCUUAAA